GAUGGACGCUGGCGGCGUGCCUAAUACAUGCAAGUCGAGCGAACAGACGAGGAGCUUGCUCCUCUGACGUUAGCGGCGGACGGGUGAGUAACACGUGGAUAACCUACCUAUAAGACUGGGAUAACUUCGGGAAACCGGAGCUAAUACCGGAUAAUAUAUUGAACCGCAUGGUUCAAUAGUGAAAGACGGUUUUGCUGUCACUUAUAGAUGGAUCCGCGCCGCAUUAGCUAGUUGGUAAGGUAACGGCUUACCAAGGCGACGAUGCGUAGCCGACCUGAGAGGGUGAUCGGCCACACUGGAACUGAGACACGGUCCAGACUCCUACGGGAGGCAGCAGUAGGGAAUCUUCCGCAAAGGGCGAAAGCCUGACGGAGCAACGCCGCGUGAGUGAUGAAGGUCUUCGGAUCGUAAAACUCUGUUAUUAGGGAAGAACAAAUGUGUAAGUAACUAUGCACGUCUUGACGGUACCUAAUCAGAAAGCCACGGCUAACUACGUG
This 497-nucleotide ribosomal RNA is filed under the name uncultured bacterium. RNAcentral's name for it is "partial 16S ribosomal RNA". It matches the Rfam family "Bacterial small subunit ribosomal RNA", at positions 28 to 507 of the family's 1533-position model. The record is from RNAcentral.